AUGACAAAGGAUGCUGAGAUCAAAAAAUUAAAGGCUGUUGUUGACCAGUUAAAGCAAAUUCAUGUAGCUCAAGCCACUGUCAUUAGGAAUUUGAAGUUCAACCAUCUUAAAGAGAAGGAAAAGUUGACCUCUGAUAAGAGGACUUUGAAGAUUUGCUAUGCUGACCUGAAGAAAGAGAAGGAUGACCUGAAGAAAGAGAAGGAUAAGCUGGAUUGUUGCAUUGCUGAGCUGAUGAAAGUGAAGGAGAAGUUGACCAUGGAGAAGAGUACUCUUGCUUCCUGCAUUGUUGAGCUCAAGACAGCAGGUGAUAGCAACAAGAGGAAGCUUCACCAGAUUAAGGCUAUUUGUGAUGAGGACUAA
RNAcentral lists this ribosomal RNA (360 nucleotides) under Triticum aestivum (bread wheat). RNAcentral describes it as "partial small subunit ribosomal RNA". The record is from RNAcentral. Lineage: Eukaryota; Viridiplantae; Streptophyta; Magnoliopsida; Poales; Poaceae.